UUCCUCAGAACCAUCCCACGGGAUUGGAUCCCUGCCAGAAAAUCCGGGGUGGAAAUCAGGCAGGGGAGAGGAAGGUGCCCAAAUUCUGCUUCCUCCUGCCCCAUCCCUGAGUUCGUGCCUGGGAAAUGGGAGUUUUCCGUGGUUUUCAUGGAAUUAUGGAACGGUUUGGGUUGGAAGGACCUUAAAGAGAUGCAGUUCCCGGGUAGGGACAUUUUCCCGCUGUCCCAGGUGGCUCCAACCUGGCCUUGGACGCUUCCAGGGAUGGGGAAUCCAUGGAAUAACCUGAGCCAGGGCCUCCCCUCCCUCCCACGGGAAGGAUUUAUCCCUAAUUGCUGACCUAAACCUCUGGAACGUGUCGCUCCUGCUCUGUGACCACAGGGUGGACCCGAUGAUCUCCAGGUCUUUUCCAACCUAAAUAAUUCCCUGAUCCCUGCCACAGCGAUCCCGGAGCAUCCCACAUCCCUUGGCAGAUGGAUAUCGCUCCGCAGGGCUCGCAAUUAACACCCACCGCGGACAGGGGUAAUUAGAGGGCUCCGGAACGAGCCGACAACCCCCGAUUUGCAGCUAAAUGAGAUAAAAAUCAGCGACAAAUCGGGCCUGGAGCCUCGGGGCGCUGCAGGAACGGGAUAAAAGCGCUCGCAGCUCAGGGCUGUUUAUCCGCUUCUCCCAACUUUCCCUCUCCGCUGGAAUCAGUGUGAAGCUUUGCUGUCGAGCUCUUUGCUGCUACAAACGCUCCACUGAGAGCUUUGAAAAUGCUGAAUCUGGGGGGGUAAACUGAGAUUUAGGGCCCUCCAAGGCUUUUAAACACUUUGCACUGAGCACAGGGCGGGUUUAAACUCUCUCCGGCGCUUAAACAGCCUCACUUUGAAUUUUAGGAUGGUUAUUUUGCAACUCUUCGCUGUGAGCUGCGCCCCAAUUUGAAGGUGAUGGGCGUCCUGAUUUCCCCGCUGUGUUUUAGGCUCGGACCUGACCUAAACCCUCUCGCGGGCUUUGCAGAGCCGUGUCUCACUGCGGGGACCUGUGCCAGCCCCUGACCAACGCCUGCAGCGAGCUCUGCGCGACUCCAAGGCCGUCAUUUACCCCCCGCCCGUCGUCCUGACCUUCCCGGGGCCGGUCCUCAGCUCCUGCCCCCAGGAAAGCGUCGUGGGAAGCUGCAGCCCCCUCGCCCUCGGCCGCUCCGUGGGCUCCGGGGGUUCUUUGGGGUACCGGGGUUAUGGGAAUGCUGUCGGCUUGAGGGGCUCCAUCCUCUUCGGAGGCUCCUCCAAUGCCUACGGGGGUGCCUGGAAUUCCAGCCGGUCCUCCAAUUGCGGGUGUUCCUCGCUGGGAAGGGGGAAUUGCGGCCCUUUCCUGCACCGCCAGUACAGCUCCUGCAGCCGAGGGAGUUGUGGCUCCUGGUGAAAACUUCCCGGGGAUUCAGUUCCAGGGAUGUGAGGCUUGAAUUGUGGGGCUGCGCUAAGGAAAGCAGGAAUUCUUGUAGGGAUUUGGGGUAUUAAAGGUCCUGAGGUGUCUGUGUUAAUUCUCUGUUGUUGUGUCUUGGCUCUGCUUCUCGUGCAAAUUAAAAACCAUUUAUUGCACCA
Corvus hawaiiensis (hawaiian crow) is the source of this 1577-nucleotide long non-coding RNA. RefSeq lists it as uncharacterized. The record is from RefSeq and is a predicted model, not a curated record. The transcript has 2 exons. Lineage: Eukaryota; Metazoa; Chordata; Aves; Passeriformes; Corvidae.